GUGGCCUCAGUACGGCGAGUGAGCGGCAACAGCUCAAAUUUGAAAUCUGGCCGCAAGGUCCGAGUUGUAAUUUGCAGAGGAUGCUUUUGGCGAGGUGCCUUCCGAGUUCCCUGGAACGGGACGCCAUAGAGGGUGAGAGCCCCGUACGGUUGGACCACCGAGCCUCUGUAAAGCUCCUUCGACGAGUCGAGUAGUUUGGGAAUGCUGCUCUAAAUGGGAGGUGUACGUCUUCUAAAGCUAAAUACCGGCCAGAGACCGAUAGCGCACAAGUAGAGUGAUCGAAAGAUGAAAAGCACUUUGAAAAGAGGGUUAAAAAGUACGUGAAAUUGUUGAAAGGGAAGCGUUUAUGACCAGACUUGGGCUUGGUUGAACAUCCGGCGUUCUCGCCGGUGCACUCUGCCAGUCCAGGCCAGCAUCAGUUUGUCCCGGGGGAUAAAGGCGGUGGGAAUGUGGCUCCCCCGGGAGUGUUAUAGCCCGCCGUGCAAUGCCCUGGGACGGACUGAGGAACGCGCUUCGGCACGGAUGCUGGCGUAAUGGUCAUCAACGACCCGUCUUGAAACCACGGACCA
Molecule: ribosomal RNA, 569 nt
Filed under: Sarocladium oryzae
Lineage: Eukaryota; Fungi; Ascomycota; Sordariomycetes; Hypocreales; Sarocladiaceae
Description: partial 28S ribosomal RNA
Rfam family: Eukaryotic large subunit ribosomal RNA
Source: RNAcentral